GAUGAAGAACGUAGCGAAAUGCGAUAAGUAAUGUGAAUUGCAGAAUUCAGUGAAUCAUCGAAUCUUUGAACGCACAUUGCGCCCUCUGGUAUUCCGGGGGCAUGCCUGUUCGAGCGUCAUUACAACCCUCAAGCUUUGCUUGGUAUUGGACAUUGCCAGUUUCUGGCAGGUCUUAAAAUCAGUGGCGGUGCCAUUUGGCUUCAAGCGUAGUAAUUCUUCUCGCUUUGGAGAUCCAGGUGGUUACUUGCCAAUAACCCCCAAUUUUUUCAGGUUGACCUCGGAUCAGGUAGGGAUACCCGCUGAACUUAAGCAUAUCAAUAAGCGGAGGA
This 329-nucleotide unclassified non-coding RNA is filed under the name soil metagenome. RNAcentral's name for it is "partial contains 5.8S ribosomal RNA, internal transcribed spacer 2, and large subunit ribosomal RNA". The stretch from base 1 to 119 matches the Rfam family "5.8S ribosomal RNA", at positions 35 to 154 of the family's 154-position model. The record is from RNAcentral.